This 250-nucleotide ribosomal RNA is filed under the name uncultured bacterium. RNAcentral's name for it is "partial 16S ribosomal RNA". It matches the Rfam family "Bacterial small subunit ribosomal RNA", at positions 109 to 353 of the family's 1533-position model. The record is from RNAcentral.
AGUAACGCGUGGGUAACCUGCCUUGUACUGGGGGACGAACAGUUGGAAACGAACUGCUAAUAACCGCAUAAGCGCACAGCUUCGCAUGAAGCAGUGUGAAAAAACUCCGGUGGUACAAGAUGGACCCGCGUCUGAUUAGCUGGUUGGUGAGGUAACGGCCCACCAAGGCGACGAUCAGUAGCCGGCCUGAGAGGGUGAACGGCCACAUUGGGACUGAGACACGGCCCAGACUCCUACGGGAGGCAGCAUG